AGAGUUUGAUCCUGGCUCAGAACGAACGCUGGCGGCAGGCCUAACACAUGCAAGUCGAACGAUGCCUUCGGGCAUAGUGGCGCACGGGUGAGUAACACGUGGGAACAUACCUUUUGGUGGGGGAUAACUUCGGGAAACUGAAGCUAAUACCGCAUACGCCCCUUGGGGGAAAGAUUUAUCGCCGAAAGAUUGGCCCGCGUCCGAUUAGCUAGUUGGUGAGGUAAUGGCUCACCAAGGCUCCGAUCGGUAGCUGGUCUGAGAGGAUGACCAGCCACACUGGGACUGAGACACGGCCCAGACUCCUACGGGAGGCAGCAGUGGGGAAUAUUGGACAAUGGGCGCAAGCCUGAUCCAGCCAUGCCGCGUGAGUGAUGAAGGCCUUAGGGUUGUAAAGCUCUUUCACCCACGACGAUGAUGACGGUAG
Molecule: ribosomal RNA, 424 nt
Filed under: uncultured Alphaproteobacteria bacterium
Lineage: Bacteria; Pseudomonadati; Pseudomonadota; Alphaproteobacteria
Description: bacterial SSU rRNA
Rfam family: Bacterial small subunit ribosomal RNA
Source: RNAcentral